GACGAACGCUGGCGGCGUGCUUAACACAUGCAAGUCGAACGAAGAGCGAUGGAAGCUUGCCUCUCUCAAUCUUAGUGGCGAACGGGUGAGUAACGCGUAAUCAACCUGCCCUUCAGAGGGGGACAACAGUUGGAAACGACUGCUAAUACCGCAUACGAUCUAAUCUCGGCAUCGAGGAAAGAUGAAAGGUGGCCUCUAUUUAUAAGCUAUCACUGAAGGAGGGGAUUGCGUCUGAUUAGCUAGUUGGAGGGGUAACGGCCCACCAAGGCGAUGAUCAGUAGCCGGUCUGAGAGGAUGAACGGCCACAUUGGGACUGAGACACGGCCCAGACUCCUACGGGAGGCAGCAGUGGGGAAUCUUCCGCAAUGGACGAAAGUCUGACGGAGCAACGCCGCGUGAGUGAUGACGGCCUUCGGGUUGUAAAGCUCUGUUAAUCGGGACGAAAGGCCUUCUUGCGAACAGUUAGAAGGAUUGACGGUACCGGAAUAGAAAGCCACGGCUAACUACGUG
RNAcentral lists this ribosomal RNA (510 nucleotides) under uncultured bacterium. RNAcentral's name for it is "partial 16S ribosomal RNA". It matches the Rfam family "Bacterial small subunit ribosomal RNA", at positions 28 to 507 of the family's 1533-position model. The record is from RNAcentral.